CCCAAUUCUAACAGCAUAAGAGAGGUAGUGACAAGAAAUAACAAUACAAGGCAAUUAAAAUGCUUUGUAAUUGGAAUGAUAGAAAUUUAAACACUUUUUAAAGUAUCAAUUGGAGGGCAAGUCUGGUGCCAGCAGCCGCGGUAAUUCCAGCUCCAAUAGCGUAUAUUAAAAUUGUUGCAGUUAAAAAGCUCGUAGUUGAAUUUCUGCUAAGAAUAACCGGUCUGCUUUUA
This 230-nucleotide ribosomal RNA is filed under the name Eucoccidiorida sp. RNAcentral describes it as "partial small subunit ribosomal RNA". It matches the Rfam family "Eukaryotic small subunit ribosomal RNA", at positions 444 to 668 of the family's 1831-position model. The record is from RNAcentral. Lineage: Eukaryota; Apicomplexa; Conoidasida; Eucoccidiorida.